Molecule: transfer RNA, 67 nt
Filed under: Ancistrocerus parietum
Lineage: Eukaryota; Metazoa; Arthropoda; Insecta; Hymenoptera; Vespidae
Description: tRNA-Asp
Source: RNAcentral
AAAGAAUUAGUUAAAUUAUAACAUUUAAAUGUCAUUUAAAAAUUAUUUUUAUUUUAAAUAUUCUUUG